Glycine soja is the source of this 193-nucleotide long non-coding RNA. RefSeq lists it as uncharacterized. The transcript is spliced from 3 exons. The record is from RefSeq and is a predicted model, not a curated record. Lineage: Eukaryota; Viridiplantae; Streptophyta; Magnoliopsida; Fabales; Fabaceae.
AUAACAGUGGUGGCAAAGAUGUGUCAAAUACUUUUGUUAAUGGCUUUUGGUACCUUGACCAGCUGGGAAUGACAUCAACCUUCAACCACAAAGUUUAUUGUAGACAAGCACUAGUUGGAGGAAACUAUGGUUUGCUAGACACCACAACCUUCAUUCCUAACCCAGAUUAUUAUGGAGCUCUUUUGUGGCAUCG